AUGUUCUCUGUAGGAGCUUUCCACAUCAUGGAUGGAUGGAAAACCACAGGGAAGGCCAUCAUGCCACAGCUGGUGGUGAAGAUUGUUGGUGGGAAACAAAUUAAGUAUUUUACUGAUGGGACAAAAAGUCCCACAGAUCAUCUUGAGGUAACAAACUGCUCAGAGGACAGACACAGUCCACCUGUCAGAGUCACGGAUGGAGAUUUAAGCAGAAAAUCACCUUCUCAUGACCUGGAGCAUCUGAGACCAGUUGAGCACACAGCAAACCUGUUAGAUGCCAUCAGACAGGUACUAAAAAAAAAUCAUCUACAGCAUAAACUACACUGAAUGUUAAACAUAAUGUCCAACUCGCAAACUCACAGUAAUUUUGCAUUGUUUACUACUGUGUGAUUGUCACUGGCCAGUUUUCAGAUGACUUUUGAGGUCGAAUGAUUGCACUGUCCAUGGUUCUGAAGCCUGCUACUAACCAAUCAAGCUGAAAUACACUUGCCAUGAUUUACUAGAAGGAAUAAAUGUGCUAUAUCUGAAGCUCAUGCAGAAGAUGGCUGGAUGCUAAUAGUUUGGUAAUGAUUCAGGUUCCAGAAAGACGUUGUGUGACGGCGCCAUGUGGAGAUCGUUCACGGUCCUACAUACAUCUGAAGUCCUCAACCAACAUGGGUUACUCAAAACAAAUCAUGCAAAUUCCUCAUAUUACAGAGGAACAGGUAAGAUAUAAUGUGCAUGCUGUCUUUAAUCAACUUGAACUGUAAGUAUAUAUAACUAUACCACUGUUCAAAUGUUUGAGGUCGGAAAGUUUUUAUGUUUUUGUAAUAAGUCUCUUUUGCUCACCUCGGCUGCAUUUAUUUGUUUAAAAAUACAAUUUAAAGUGCAACAUGGUGAAAUAUUAUUACAAUUUAAAAUAACUUUUUUCUAUUUGAAUCUCUUUUAAAAUGUAAUUUAUUCCUGUGAUCAAAGCUGAAUUUUCAGCAUCAUUACUCCAGUCUUCAGUGUCACGUGAUCCUUCAGAAAUAAUUCUAAUAUGAUGAUUUGCUGCUCUAGAAUCAGUUGUGCUGCUUCAUAUUUUGUGGAAACUGUGACACAUUGUUUAGGAUAGCAAAUUCAAAAGAACAUUAUAUAUUUAAAAUAGAAAUCCUUUACAUAAUAAACGUAAUAUUAUAAAUGUCUUUACUUUCACAUUUGAUCGAUUAAAGUCAUCCUUGCUGAAAAUUUAAUACUAAAUUCAAAUUAAAAUCUCUCUAAAUCUCAAAAAUUUACUCAACAUGUCCAGAUGGAGGAGCCAAUUAAAUCCAGUCCAGAGUUCUGCCUCCUCUCAUCUGUCUCGGAGGAACUGCAGGAUUUGGAACCACAAACAUUCCAGAUCAUGGAGGAGGAAGUGACAUCACUUGAUCCGUCCCGAUCCGGAAUCAUCCAUCAGUCAGAACUCACGGGUCUCUUCCUCAGACUGAAGCUCCCUCUGAAGCUCACCACACUGGCCUGCAUGUUCAGAUCCUUCAGAAACACCACUGACCUGGAGCAGGUACUGGAGAUCAGUAAUAAGCAGAACCUUUGGGAAUUAUAGCAAAUAAUAUUAUUUGAGUCAUUAUACAAUUUUGGUGGCAUAUGUGCUCAGCAAAAAUGAAAUCCACUGAUUAAAUCAGAAAUCUAAACUUGCUGAAUUAAAUAAUGGUCCUCAUUUCGAAUACAAGUUGCAUAUUACACUACUAACUGUUUUCAUUAUUAACCUGUUUUUGAAAAAAAAAAUUUUUGAAAAUUUUAUUAAUGAAAAUAGAUUUCAAUUUCUGUAAAAUAUAAUUUCUUCUCUUUAGAUUUUGAGAUGUAAUGUAUUUAUUUCCAUUAUGAAAAAAAAUAUAUAUAUAUUUAUUUAUUUAUUUAUCUAUCAUUACUAUUAUUUUAUACACCACUAUUAUUUUCAUGUGAAGUCAAAAAUAAGGUUGAUUUUCUUUGUGCAAAAUAUAAUUUCAUUUUUCUUUAGAUUUUGAGAUGAAACAUGGAUUGUGUGUUUUUAUUAGAUCUACCCAUUUUUCCAUUUUGUUAAAAAUAUU
Long non-coding RNA from Cyprinus carpio carpio, 2042 nucleotides. Lineage: Eukaryota; Metazoa; Chordata; Actinopteri; Cypriniformes; Cyprinidae. The record is from Ensembl.